Molecule: small RNA, 29 nt
Filed under: Bombyx mori (domestic silkworm)
Lineage: Eukaryota; Metazoa; Arthropoda; Insecta; Lepidoptera; Bombycidae
Description: ovarian small RNA-11340
Source: RNAcentral
ACCUCACGUGCGCGUCUUUUACAACGAUC